Molecule: long non-coding RNA, 1064 nt
Filed under: Apis mellifera (honey bee)
Lineage: Eukaryota; Metazoa; Arthropoda; Insecta; Hymenoptera; Apidae
Description: uncharacterized LOC102656690, transcript variant X2
Source: RNAcentral
CGAAACGACAAUUACGUCUUCAUAGCGGAGCCAGCAAAGAUUAAUCCUCUUGAAACGGUUUUUAAAAGUAAACCGUCCCUGUUCGAAAUAUUUUACUCGAGAUUUCCCCGAUUCUUACCAAACUAACAAGUGUAAAGGGACUAAAGGAAAGCUGUUUGCGCUAGAAAGGAAACGCAGCGUGUCUCGGAUCGGAGGAGAUGGUAUUGGUGACGGACACACGAGGAUACGAGAGGACGGUGGUGAUGGGCAUAGUAAUCAAGAACGUGAUAAUUGGUUAAAGGCUAUUGCACAAUUCAUUGUGAACGAAUGAUGGAUGCCAAAUAUUUUGAAAGUAGUCUAAUGGAGGAUUCAAAAGACUCCAAGAGGGAAGAAAAGGCGACAAAAAAAAAUUUUCAUACGAAUCGAAGUAUGAUUCACUUUAAUGCGUUUAUUAUGCACGACAAGGAAUGUCGGCGUGUCGCGUUCAAGUGACAACGACAAUGGCUCCGCCGGUUGUAACGAUUUAGCUGGAAUACAACACCAGGCCAAACCUAGCGACAAUAGGCCGCCACGCGAAUAGAGAGGAGAAAAAGGAAAAGAUGAGGAUAAAAGGAGGGAACGUAAGCCGGUGACGAUGUUCCUCGUGCUACGUGACAGGAUGCACCGCCACGUGCCCGCUUUGCGGGUGGUUGGCGAGCACACUCAAAGGUGGAACUUCGUCAUCGAGAAGUAUCUGUUCAACUCAUCGCAAGGCACACAGGCCCGGGACAAAGACAAUAGCCGAGAUAGAUCGCGACUUCCGUCUUCUUCGGUACCCCGGAAAGCGAGGAAAAAAAACCGGGUGUCCUUCUAUCGCGCGAUCUCAUCUCCUGGAGAUGGCGACAGGCCCGCCUGUCGGCCAGCGAAGAGGGGCCCCGAAGCCGAGGAACAACUGUGCGUAGCCCGAGCAAGAAGAAGAGAGCCAAGCCAAAGGAACCAAGAAAAAGAAAACUUCGGUCGGAGAAAAGUCAACCCGAUGGAACAACGACGGAGGACGACUCACCGAGAAAGAAGAAAAAGAAGAAGAAGAAGAAAAAGAAGAAAAA